RNAcentral lists this signal recognition particle RNA (299 nucleotides) under Aotus nancymaae (Ma's night monkey). Its description in RNAcentral is "Metazoan signal recognition particle RNA (ENSANAG00000009925.1)". It matches the Rfam family "Metazoan signal recognition particle RNA". From Rfam's summary of the family: The signal recognition particle (SRP) is a universally conserved ribonucleoprotein. It is involved in the co-translational targeting of proteins to membranes. The eukaryotic SRP consists of a 300-nucleotide 7S RNA and six proteins: SRPs 72, 68, 54, 19, 14, and 9. The record is from RNAcentral. Lineage: Eukaryota; Metazoa; Chordata; Mammalia; Primates; Aotidae.
GCCGGGCGCGGUGGCGCGUGCCUGUGGUCCCAGCUACUCAGGAGGCUGAGGUGGGAGGAUCGCUCGAGCCCAGGAGUUCUGGGCUGUAGUGCGCUAUGCCGAUCAGGUGUCUGCACUAAGUUCGGCAUCACUAUGGUGGCCUCCCAGGAGCGGGGGACCACCAGGUUGCCUAAGGAGGGGUGAACCGGCCCAGGUGGGAAAAGGAGCAGGUCAAAAUUCCUGUGCUGAUCAGUAGUGGGAUCGCGCCUAUGAACAGCCACUGCACUCCAGCCUGGGCAACAGAGUGAGACCCCAUCUCU